This 800-nucleotide long non-coding RNA is filed under the name Equus asinus (donkey). Its description in RNAcentral is "lncRNA (ENSEASG00005038335.1)". The record is from RNAcentral. Lineage: Eukaryota; Metazoa; Chordata; Mammalia; Perissodactyla; Equidae.
GGCAAGGGAAUAAGCGGCCACCGAGGACCCUGAGGUCUCACCAGAGCUGCCGUCGCCACUCGCCCCUUGAGUCGGCUCGGUGCGCGCUGGCGGCAGCCGGAGUAGCCCUAGAGGCGGCGGCAGUUCCCGCCCGGGUAGAGGCGCCACGGCGCACGCCAGCCCCGGGAAAAGCCCGCGCCGCCUCUGCGCCCAGCUGUGCCCUGGCCCUCGCGCCGCCCCCGAUCCCGCGGCGGCCGGUGCGCGUCUAGUCGGUGACCCCGGCGUAGGCCUGGUGCCAGGAGGGCGCGCGGGAGGCCGCGUGGGUGCAGGUCCGCGCGAGCAGACGCCCGGGGGACCGGCCUCGCCCCCCACCAGCCUUGACCCUCCGCCCCGCCGCCCGCGCCCGGCCCGGCUCUUACCGCGGGGUCAGCCGGGAGGCGGCGGCCGCAGCGCUCGGGCUGCCGCUUGUCCGCUCUGGGAUCGGCGCCAGCCCGGCCGCCGGUGCACACUCGCGCCGGUCCCGGCCCGGCAGUCCGAUCGGCGGUGACCGCUGGUGCGCGGCGGGCGAGGGUCCCGGCAGGUCCCGCCGCCGCGACUGGGGCGCUGCGCCGCCGUCGCUGCAGACGGUUAUGGUAAUGAGCGGCUCUGUCUAGCGAGGAGCGUGUGAAACCCGUCAAUCCUGUUUGCCAUUUCCCCGUGGAUUUCCGAGGAGAGGUUCUGCAGGAUGCCCCCAGGGGUCACCUCCAUCGUCGAGAUGGGUCAUUUCAGGUGUAAUGAACGCGCUGGCUUGGAAGGCAUAGACCUAAUAAAAUCGAGAGAAG